This 29-nucleotide transfer RNA is filed under the name Apodemus mystacinus (broad-toothed field mouse). RNAcentral's name for it is "partial tRNA-Thr". Lineage: Eukaryota; Metazoa; Chordata; Mammalia; Rodentia; Muridae. The record is from RNAcentral.
CAAAAAUGAAGAARUUUCUUCUCAGGACA